AUUGCUGGCACACUCAUCCCUGUUCUCAAAUAUCUUUUAAACUUGGGUGAAGUGAUAAGUAGGGGAAGAUGAUUUACUGAAAGCAAUGCAGAGUCUCCCGAGAACAGAUUCAGACUGAACAGAUUUGUGUCAGACUUUGGGAGACCGCUGGUGCCCAAGAUGUUCUCUGGCAGGUCAAUGACGAAUCUAGGUCCAUCUUUCACAGCUACGUCAAUGAAGUGGGACACUUCGACAAGGCCAAAGCUGGUAUCCCAACCAUAGCCCUUGACAGUGAUGUUCGGCUCCAGGAAGCCAUCAGAUGCAGCAGGUGGCCAGAGGAGGAGCCGAACUUGCUCAUGAAAUGUGACAUCCCCAACUUCAUCAACACGGACCAGAACUCUUCCUUUGGGGAAGAUGAUCUGAUUUUCGAACCACCGAAUGUUCUAGAAAAUAAGCCAGUUGCCCAGACCCCACACAAAGACUUGAAUUGAGAAACGUGCAUUGUCAGGUGUAUUUUUGAAGAUAUGAAUUUUGUCUUUGUAUGGCAGGAAGUCCCUUUUCACAAAAUUGUAUGUGUUUUUGUCUGAGAGAGAGAAAUGGAGACAGACAGAAAGACGAAGAAGCAGAAGAGAGCCCCCUCAGAAGAGAGCUAGUUAAGAAUCCUUGAGAGGUCCCUGUCAUCAUUGUCAA
Camelus dromedarius (Arabian camel) is the source of this 669-nucleotide long non-coding RNA. RefSeq lists it as uncharacterized. NCBI's taxonomy places the organism in Eukaryota, Metazoa, Chordata, Mammalia, Artiodactyla, Camelidae. The transcript is spliced from 3 exons. The record is from RefSeq and is a predicted model, not a curated record.